UAAUUAAAAUUUCAUCCUUUUGUACGGUUAAAAACUGGCUUGAUCGAGGCAAUAACCAAAUAGAGAUACAUGGCAUAUCACGUUUACAUCAUACUAACGUACACGGAUCGGUUUUUAACUAUAGAAAUAGAUAAAAAUUUUGACUG
Non-coding RNA from Gossypium raimondii (Peruvian cotton), 146 nucleotides. NCBI's taxonomy places the organism in Eukaryota, Viridiplantae, Streptophyta, Magnoliopsida, Malvales, Malvaceae. The record is from Rfam.